This 497-nucleotide ribosomal RNA is filed under the name uncultured bacterium. RNAcentral's name for it is "partial 16S ribosomal RNA". It matches the Rfam family "Bacterial small subunit ribosomal RNA", at positions 28 to 507 of the family's 1533-position model. The record is from RNAcentral.
GAUGAACGCUGGCGGCGUGCCUAAUACAUGCAAGUCGAGCGAACAGACGAGGAGCUUGCUCCUCUGACGUUAGCGGCGGACGGGUGAGUAACACGUGGAUAACCUGCCUAUAAGACUGGGAUAACUUCGGGAAACCGGAGCUAAUACCGGAUAAUAUAUUGAACCGCAUGGUUCAAUAGUGAAAGACGGUUUUGCUGUCACUUAUAGAUGGAUCCGCGCCGCAUUAGCUAGUUGGUAAGGUAACGGCUUACCAAGGCAACGAUGCGUAGCCGACCUGAGAGGGUGAUCGGCCACACUGGAACUGAGACACGGUCCAGACUCCUACGGGAGGCAGCAGUAGGGAAUCUUCCGCAAUGGGCGAAAGCCUGACGGAGCAACGCCGCGUGAGUGAUGAAGGUCUUCGGAUCGUAAAACUCUGUUAUUAGGGAAGAACAAAUGUGUAAGUAACUCUGCACGUCUUGACGGUACCUAAUCAGAAAGCCACGGCUAACUACGUG